Molecule: non-coding RNA, 1476 nt
Organism: Coturnix japonica (Japanese quail)
Lineage: Eukaryota; Metazoa; Chordata; Aves; Galliformes; Phasianidae
Source: RefSeq, a predicted model, not a curated record
GCUGGCAGGAACCCACACCCUCAACAUCACCUCAACAAUGAUAUCCCAACAGUCACCAAUUGUCUUUGAGGACAGAUUGGGAUCAAAAUACGUGGGCUAUCGUAGCUCAUCCACUGAUAAAGUUCCCUUUGUUGGACAUGCAGACUGCACUGCCUGCCAGUCAUUGCCAUGCCUGUAUGGGAGCUGUGAGCUCACAGCCCAAAGCAGUGAUGGAGCACCUGGAGAGGGGUGUAGCCCUGUGAGCACAGGUGGAAGCAGUUCCCAGGACCAGCUGAGGCUGAACCCAGCUCCACUCCUCCCUGGCCACAUUUAAGGGCUGGCAGGAAGAGAGGCAGCAUGUCUUUCUGGAGCCUGCUUGCUUAGGAGCAUGGGGUGAGCCAUGGAGUGGGUGAGCUGUGCCAUCUUUGGGUAUCCUGACUGCGUUUAAGGGCUGUAAGCCUGAAGGGCGGCAUCUCUCCUUGGGGACUGCUUCCCGUGGAAUGCAGGGUAAGAGCAUUUGUCUUUGGAAGGGGGUGUGCGGUCCCUUCCUGGGAGCAGCCCUGCGGAGAAGCACUGGGGGGUCCUGGUGGACGAGCAGCAGCACAUGGGCCAGUGAUGUGCACGUCUGGCCUAGGAGGUCAGCGAUAUCCGGGGCCGUGUUAAUAGAGGAGCGGCCAGCAGGGAGAAGGAGCCGAUUGUCGGUGCAGCGUCAGGGCGAAGGUGGGGAGCUGCUGGGGGCGGCUGCGCCCGCGUUAAGGAGCCGUGCGAGGAGCAGCGACACCGACAGCGCGAGAUACGACGCGUCCAGCGGGAUCCGCUCGAGCAGCCCGAGGGGACACGGCGGCCGUCAGGACUCCCGGCACCGGGCCGGACAUGGGGGGUCAUGCACUUGGAUUUGCCCACGGCGCUGCCGCCCAGGCACGUGAUCUUCACGGCCUCCGCAGCGCCGCCCUCAACCGAGGCCUCAGCCCGGGGCUGCUCCGCUCCAACGCUGCGUCCCCGCUGCGCGAUGCAUUGCGUCAUCACCCGCGCGCCGUCGUACUCUGAUGACGUCAUCACAGCUGCGCCGUCUCGUGGGGUUGAAAGGCGGGGUCAGAGCUGGGGGCGGAGCCUGCGGAGUAGCGACCAAUGAGAGGGAGGGACGGGCGGUGGGCGGGGCUUGAGUGGAGGGGCGGGUCUAUGCUAAUCAGAGCCGCGGGGGUCGCCGGGAGCGCUCCGCCACGAUGAACCGGGGCCCGGCGGAGCCGCUGUCGGGGACGGAGCGGGAGCGGCACCGGCGGAGCGGGGUUGAGGUUGGAUUCCUGUUGUCAGUAUGCCCAUUCCAGAUCCAUUUCAGCUCUGAAUUCAACAUCUGUGUACAUAGAACAAAGACAAGGACCCAAUGUGUGCAGGAUGGAUCCCAAUGUGUGCUCACAUUGCAAUGUGGGACAUCUAUCCUGUUGUCUCCUUACUGGGUAUCAAUGAGCAACAACAUUCUUGCUGGAUCCCAAUGGAGCU